RNAcentral lists this ribosomal RNA (820 nucleotides) under uncultured bacterium. RNAcentral's name for it is "bacterial SSU rRNA". It matches the Rfam family "Bacterial small subunit ribosomal RNA", at positions 69 to 883 of the family's 1533-position model. The record is from RNAcentral.
GCAGCACGGGAGCAAUCCUGGUGGCGAGUGGCGAACGGGUGAGUAAUAUAUCGGAACGUGCCCAGUCGUGGGGGAUAACGUAGCGAAAGCUACGCUAAUACCGCAUACGAUCUACGGAUGAAAGCGGGGGACUCGCANGAGCCUCGCGCGAUUGGAGCGGCCGAUAUCAGAUUAGGUUGUUGGUGAGGUAAAAGCUCACCAAGCCUGCGAUCUGUAGCUGGUCUGAGAGGACGACCAGCCACACUGGAACUGAGACACGGUCCAGACUCCUACGGGAGGCAGCAGUGGGGAAUUUUGGACAAUGGACGCAAGUCUGAUCCAGCAAUGCCGCGUGCAGGACGAANGCCUUCGGGUUGUAAACUGCUUUUGUACGGAACGAAACGGUCUUCUUUAAUACAGAGGGCUAAUGACGGUACCGUAAGAAUAAGCACCGGCUAACUACGUGCCAGCAGCCGCGGUAAUACGUAGGGUGCGAGCGUUAAUCGGAAUUACUGGGCGUAAAGCGUGCGCAGGCGGUUAUAUAAGUCANAUGUGAAAUCCCCGGGCUCAACCUGGGACCUGCAUUUGANACUGUAUAGCUAGAGUACGGUAGAGGGGGAUGGAAUUCCGCGUGUANCAGUGAAAUGCGUAGAUAUGCGGANGAACACCGAUGGCGAANGCAAUCCCCUGNACCUGUACUGACGCUCAUGCACGAAAGCGUGGGGAGCAAACANGANUANAUACCCUGNUANUCCACGCCCUAAACGAUGUCAACUGNNUGUUGGGUCUUCACUGACUCANUAACGAAGCUAACGCGUGAAGUUGACCGCCUGGGGAGUAC